RNAcentral lists this ribosomal RNA (1346 nucleotides) under uncultured bacterium. RNAcentral describes it as "bacterial SSU rRNA". It matches the Rfam family "Bacterial small subunit ribosomal RNA", at positions 28 to 1381 of the family's 1533-position model. The record is from RNAcentral.
GACGAACGCUGGCGGCGUGCUUAACACAUGCAAGUCGAACGGAAAGGCCCUGCUUUUGUGGGGUGCUCGAGUGGCGAACGGGUGAGUAACACGUGAGUAACCUGCCCUUGACUUUGGGAUAACUUCAGGAAACUGGGGCUAAUACCGGAUAGGAGCUCCUGCUGCAUGGUGGGGGUUGGAAAGUUUCGGCGGUUGGGGAUGGACUCGCGGCUUAUCAGCUUGUUGGUGGGGUAGUGGCUUACCAAGGCUUUGACGGGUAGCCGGCCUGAGAGGGUGACCGGCCACAUUGGGACUGAGAUACGGCCCAGACUCCUACGGGAGGCAGCAGUGGGGAAUAUUGCACGAUGGGCGGAAGCCUGAUGCAGCAACGCCGCGUGCGGGAUGACGGCCUUCGGGUUGUAAACCGCUUUCGCCUGUGACGAAGCGUGAGUGACGGUAAUGGGUAAAGAAGCACCGGCUAACUACGUGCCAGCAGCCGCGGUGAUACGUAGGGUGCGAGCGUUGUCCGGAUUUAUUGGGCGUAAAGGGCUCGUAGGUGGUUGAUCGCGUCGGAAGUGUAAUCUUGGGGCUUAACCCUGAGCGUGCUUUCGAUACGGGUUGACUUGAGGAAGGUAGGGGAGAAUGGAAUUCCUGGUGGAGCGGUGGAAUGCGCAGAUAUCAGGAGGAACACCAGUGGCGAAGGCGGUUCUCUGGGCCUUUCCUGACGCUGAGGAGCGAAAGCGUGGGGAGCGAACAGGCUUAGAUACCCUGGUAGUCCACGCUGUAAACGGUGGGUACUAGGUGUGGGGUCCAUUCCACGGGUUCCGUGCCGUAGCUAACGCUUUAAGUACCCCGCCUGGGGAGUACGGCCGCAAGGCUAAAACUCAAAGGAAUUGACGGGGCCCCGCACAAGCGGCGGAGCAUGCGGAUUAAUUCGAUGCAACGCGUAGAACCUUACCUGGGUUUGACAUGGAUCGGGAGCGCUCAGAGAUGGGUGUGCCUCUUUUGGGGUCGGUUCACAGGUGGUGCAUGGCUGUCGUCAGCUCGCGUCGUGAGAUGUUGGGUUAAGUCCCGCAACGAGCGCAACCCUUGUUCACUGUUGCCAGCACGUUAUGGUGGGGACUCAGUGGAGACCGCCGGGGUCAACUCGGAGGAAGGUGGGGAUGACGUCAAGUCAUCAUGCCCCUUAUGUCCAGGGCUUCACGCAUGCUACAAUGGCUGGUACAGAGAGUGGCGAGCCUGUGAGGGUGAGCGAAUCUCGGAAAGCCGGUCUCAGUUCGGAUUGGGGUCUGCAACUCGACCUCAUGAAGUCGGAGUCGCUAGUAAUCGCAGAUCAGCAACGCUGCGGUGAAUACGUUCCCGGGGCU